RNAcentral lists this transfer RNA (73 nucleotides) under Clostridia bacterium. RNAcentral describes it as "tRNA-Trp". It matches the Rfam family "tRNA". From Rfam's summary of the family: Transfer RNA (tRNA) molecules are approximately 80 nucleotides in length. Their secondary structure includes four short double-helical elements and three loops (D, anti-codon, and T loops). The record is from RNAcentral. Lineage: Bacteria; Bacillati; Bacillota; Clostridia.
AGGGGUGUAGCUCAAUUGGUAGAGUAGCGGACUCCAAAUCCGUUGGUUGCGGGUUCGAGCCCUGCCACCCCUG